AGCGUACACGGUGGAUGCCCUGGCAGUCAGAGGCGAUGAAGGACGUGCUAAUCUGCGAUAAGCGUCGGUGAGGUGAUAUGAACCGUUAUAACCGGCGAUUUCCGAAUGGGGAAACCCAGUGUGUUUCGACACACUAUCAUUAACUGAAUCCAUAGGUUAAUGAGGCGAACCGGGGGAACUGAAACAUCUAAGUACCCCGAGGAAAAGAAAUCAACCGAGAUUCCCCCAGUAGCGGCGAGCGAACGGGGAGGAGCCCAGAGCCUGAAUCAGUGUGUGUGUUAGUGGAAGCGUCUGGAAAGGCGUGCGAUACAGGGUGACAGCCCCGUACACAAAAAUGCACAUAUUGUGAGCUCGAUGAGUAGGGCGGGACACGUGGUAUCCUGUCUGAAUAUGGGGGGACCAUCCUCCAAGGCUAAAUACUCCUGACUGACCGAUAGUGAACCAGUACCGUGAGGGAAAGGCGAAAAGAACCCCGGCGAGGGGAGUGAAAAAGAACCUGAAACCGUGUACGUACAAGCAGUGGGAGCCUCUUAAUGGGGUGACUGCGUACCUUUUGUAUAAUGGGUCAGCGACUUAUAUUCUGUAGCAAGGUUAACCGAAUAGGGGAGCCGAAGGGAAACCGAGUCUUAACUGGGCGUUAAGUUGCAGGGUAUAGACCCGAAACCCGGUGAUCUAGCCAUGGGCAGGUUGAAGGUUGGGUAACACUAACUGGAGGACCGAACCGACUAAUGUUGAAAAAUUAGUGGAUGACUUGUGGCUGGGGGUGAAAGGCCAAUCAAACCGGGAGAUAGCUGGUUCUCCCCGAAAGCUAUUUAGGUAGCGCCUCGUGAAUUCAUCUCCGGGGGUAGAGCACUGUUUCGGCAAGGGGGUCAUCCCGACUUACCAACCCGAUGCAAACUGCGAAUACCGGAGAAUGUUAUCACGGGAGACACACGGCGGGUGCUAACGUCCGUCGUGAAGAGGGAAACAACCCAGACCGCCAGCUAAGGUCCCAAAGUCAUGGUUAAGUGGGAAACGAUGUGGGAAGGCCCAGACAGCCAGGAUGUUGGCUUAGAAGCAGCCAUCAUUUAAAGAAAGCGUAAUAGCUCACUGGUCGAGUCGGCCUGCGCGGAAGAUGUAACGGGGCUAAACCAUGCACCGAAGCUGCGGCAGCGACACUAUGUGUUGUUGGGUAGGGGAGCGUUCUGUAAGCCUGUGAAGGUGGCCUGUGAGGGUUGCUGGAGGUAUCAGAAGUGCGAAUGCUGACAUAAGUAACGAUAAAGCGGGUGAAAAGCCCGCUCGCCGGAAGACCAAGGGUUCCUGUCCAACGUUAAUCGGGGCAGGGUGAGUCGACCCCUAAGGCGAGGCCGAAAGGCGUAGUCGAUGGGAAACAGGUUAAUAUUCCUGUACUUGGUGUUACUGCGAAGGGGGGACGGAGAAGGCUAUGUUGGCCGGGCGACGGUUGUCCCGGUUUAAGCGUGUAGGCUGGUUUUCCAGGCAAAUCCGGAAAACCAAGGCUGAGGCGUGAUGACGAGGCACUACGGUGCUGAAGCGACAAAUGCCCUGCUUCCAGGAAAAGCCUCUAAGCAUCAGGUAACAUCAAAUCGUACCCCAAACCGACACAGGUGGUCAGGUAGAGAAUACCAAGGCGCUUGAGAGAACUCGGGUGAAGGAACUAGGCAAAAUGGUGCCGUAACUUCGGGAGAAGGCACGCUGAUAUGUAGGUGAAGCGACUUGCUCGUGGAGCUGAAAUCAGUCGAAGAUACCAGCUGGCUGCAACUGUUUAUUAAAAACACAGCACUGUGCAAACACGAAAGUGGACGUAUACGGUGUGACGCCUGCCCGGUGCCGGAAGGUUAAUUGAUGGGGUUAGCGGUAACGCGAAGCUCUUGAUCGAAGCCCCGGUAAACGGCGGCCGUAACUAUAACGGUCCUAAGGUAGCGAAAUUCCUUGUCGGGUAAGUUCCGACCUGCACGAAUGGCGUAAUGAUGGCCAGGCUGUCUCCACCCGAGACUCAGUGAAAUUGAACUCGCUGUGAAGAUGCAGUGUACCCGCGGCAAGACGGAAAGACCCCGUGAACCUUUACUAUAGCUUGACACUGAACAUUGAGCCUUGAUGUGUAGGAUAGGUGGGAGGCUUUGAAGUGUGGACGCCAGUCUGCAUGGAGCCGACCUUGAAAUACCACCCUUUAAUGUUUGAUGUUCUAACGUUGGCCCGUAAUCCGGGUUGCGGACAGUGUCUGGUGGGUAGUUUGACUGGGGCGGUCUCCUCCUAAAGAGUAACGGAGGAGCACGAAGGUUGGCUAAUCCUGGUCGGACAUCAGGAGGUUAGUGCAAUGGCAUAAGCUAGCUUGACUGCGAGCGUGACGGCGCGAGCAGGUGCGAAAGCAGGUCAUAGUGAUCCGGUGGUUCUGAAUGGAAGGGCCAUCGCUCAACGGAUAAAAGGUACUCCGGGGAUAACAGGCUGAUACCGCCCAAGAGUUCAUAUCGACGGCGGUGUUUGGCACCUCGAUGUCGGCUCAUCACAUCCUGGGGCUGAAGUAGGUCCCAAGGGUAUGGCUGUUCGCCAUUUAAAGUGGUACGCGAGCUGGGUUUAGAACGUCGUGAGACAGUUCGGUCCCUAUCUGCCGUGGGCGCUGGAGAACUGAGGGGGGCUGCUCCUAGUACGAGAGGACCGGAGUGGACGCAUCACUGGUGUUCGGGUUGUCAUGCCAAUGGCACUGCCCGGUAGCUAAAUGCGGAAGAGAUAAGUGCUGAAAGCAUCUAAGCACGAAACUUGCCCCGAGAUGAGUUCUCCCUGACUCCUUGA
RNAcentral lists this ribosomal RNA (2787 nucleotides) under human gut metagenome. Its description in RNAcentral is "bacterial LSU rRNA". It matches the Rfam family "Bacterial large subunit ribosomal RNA". The record is from RNAcentral.